UACGUAGGGUGCGAGCGUUAAUCGGAAUUACUGGGCGUAAAGCGUGCGCAGGCGGUGAUGUAAGACAGAUGUGAAAUCCCCGGGCUCAACCUGGGAACUGCAUUUGUGACUGCAUCGCUGGAGUGCGGCAGAGGGGGAUGGAAUUCCGCGUGUAGCAGUGAAGUGCGUAGAUAUGCGGAGGAACACCGAUGGCGAAGGCAAUCCCCUGGGCCUGCACUGACGCUCAUGCACGAAAGCGUGGGGAGCAAACAGG
This 253-nucleotide ribosomal RNA is filed under the name uncultured bacterium. Its description in RNAcentral is "partial 16S ribosomal RNA". It matches the Rfam family "Bacterial small subunit ribosomal RNA", at positions 524 to 776 of the family's 1533-position model. The record is from RNAcentral.